This 462-nucleotide ribosomal RNA is filed under the name uncultured bacterium. RNAcentral's name for it is "partial 16S ribosomal RNA". It matches the Rfam family "Bacterial small subunit ribosomal RNA", at positions 28 to 507 of the family's 1533-position model. The record is from RNAcentral.
GACGAACGCUGGCGGCGUGCUUAACACAUGCAAGUCGAACGGAAAGGCCCUUCGGGGUACUCGAGUGGCGAACGGGUGAGUAACACGUGGGUGAUCUGCCCUGCACUUUGGGAUAAGCCUGGGAAACUUGGUCUAAUACCGAAUAUGAUCAUCGGCUUCAUGGUCGGUGGUGGAACGCUUUUGCGGUGUGGGAUGGGCCCGCGGCCUAUCAGCUUGUUGGUGGGGUAAUGGCCUACCAAGGCGACGACGGGUAGCCGGCCUGAGAGGGUGACCGGCCACACUGGGACUGAGAUACGGCCCAGACUCCUACGGGAGGCAGCAGUGGGGAAUAUUGCACAAUGGGCGCAAGCCUGAUGCAGCGACGCAGCGUGAGGGAUGACGGCCUUCGGGUUGUAAACCUCUUUCAGCACAGACGAAGCGCAAGUGACGGUAUGUGCAGAAGAAGGACCGGCCAACUACGUG